CAAAAUGAAUGGUUAAGGCUCUUUUAAAGAGCCUUUAUGGGACUUUAAGUGCUCACAGCCAGUGUGGAACAUCUCUUGCCUUAAAAGCUGCUGUAAGUAACUUUAUAUUCACCCUGUUAUGCUCCUAGACUGAGCUACUCGUCACUGCGUAGCUUGGAGUUGAUGAAAACCAAAGGAAUAUCAUGAAGUUAGUGAGCAUGGAACUGUUCUGCAAUAAAAGGAAAUUCUUCUUAUUUCUCUGAAGAAUAAGGCACAUGGAUAUCCUGGCUACCAGCAAUCCCUGAAGCAAAUGGUCUCCUUCCUUUGCCAACCAUUGCCACAGCUCCCUUGUCUCAGUUACAGCCAAUUGAAAUGUUAUCUGAAAGCCUCAGCUUUACUCUUAUCCUCUGGAAAGAAGUGAAAUGAUAUGAUAACAACCAGAAUGCUGUCACUGGAGCACCCAGUUUAUAACUUCAGCAUGAUAAAAUCCGAGGCCCACUGGUAGUGCAGAGGAUUUUGUCAUUGACUUGAGAAGAAUGAAAGAUACCUCCAGUGCUGCAAGACUUCUGUGGUGAGAACUAACAACUUGCCUGCAAGUGCUCCAGAAGUCGUAAGUGAGAAUUUGACUGUACAUAAUAUCCAGAGAGGAAGAAGUGUUUCUUCCCCAUGUAGUUUUCUUAGUCACGAUUUCAAGGUAAUGCCUGGAAAGGAGAAGGUUAUUGGGUCGACUCUUCUAAAGAAUGUAACAAGCAAAAAUGACUGUAAGCCUAAUGAAAAGUCAAAAUGUUUCUAAUCCAGCUAAGAUGUAUGAAAGAGGUCCCUAUGGCAUAUAUAUUACUGGUUGCAAUUUCUCAGAUGGAAAUAUAUGGUAAUAAUUAA
Molecule: long non-coding RNA, 858 nt
Organism: Falco peregrinus (peregrine falcon)
Lineage: Eukaryota; Metazoa; Chordata; Aves; Falconiformes; Falconidae
Exons: 3
Source: RefSeq, a predicted model, not a curated record